GCACUCUUGGUUUAGUGGUAAAAUCAGCGCUUCCCACUACCGCUUGCGCUGGCCCCGGGUUCGAUUCCCGGAGGGUGCA
Molecule: transfer RNA, 79 nt
Filed under: Blumeria hordei DH14
Lineage: Eukaryota; Fungi; Ascomycota; Leotiomycetes; Helotiales; Erysiphaceae
Description: tRNA-Gly for anticodon CCC
Rfam family: tRNA
About the family: Transfer RNA (tRNA) molecules are approximately 80 nucleotides in length. Their secondary structure includes four short double-helical elements and three loops (D, anti-codon, and T loops). Further hydrogen bonds mediate the characteristic L-shaped molecular structure. tRNAs have two regions of fundamental functional importance: the anti-codon, which is responsible for specific mRNA codon recognition, and the 3' end, to which the tRNAs corresponding amino acid is attached (by aminoacyl-tRNA synthetases). tRNAs cope with the degeneracy of the genetic code in two manners: having more than one tRNA (with a specific anti-codon) for a particular amino acid; and 'wobble' base-pairing, i.e. permitting non-standard base-pairing at the 3rd anti-codon position.
Source: RNAcentral